Molecule: ribosomal RNA, 301 nt
Filed under: uncultured bacterium
Lineage: Bacteria
Description: partial 16S ribosomal RNA
Rfam family: Bacterial small subunit ribosomal RNA
Source: RNAcentral
CAGCCGCCACGGUAAUACGAAGGGUGCAAGCGUUAAUCGGAAUUACUGGGCGUAAAGCGUGCGCAGGCGGUCCGCUAAGACAGAUGUGAAAUCCCCGGGCUUAACCUGGGAACUGCAUUUGUGACUGGCGGGCUAGAGUAUGGCAGAGGGGGGUAGAAUUCCACGUGUAGCAGUGAAAUGCGUAGAGAUGUGGAGGAAUACCGAUGGCGAAGGCAGCCCCCUGGGCCAAUACUGGCGCUCAUGCACGAAAGCGUGGGGAGCAGACAGGAUUAGAGACCCGUGUAGUCCCUGUCUCUUAUAC